RNAcentral lists this ribosomal RNA (538 nucleotides) under uncultured Stenotrophomonas sp. RNAcentral describes it as "bacterial SSU rRNA". It matches the Rfam family "Bacterial small subunit ribosomal RNA", at positions 337 to 865 of the family's 1533-position model. The record is from RNAcentral. Lineage: Bacteria; Pseudomonadati; Pseudomonadota; Gammaproteobacteria; Lysobacterales; Lysobacteraceae.
UCCUACGGGGAAAGCAGCAGUGGGGAAUAUUGGACAAUGGGCGCAAGCCUGAUCCAGCCAUACCGCGUGGGUGAAGAAGGCCUUCGGGUUGUAAAGCCCUUUUGUUGGGAAAGAAAUCCAUCUGGCUAAUACCCGGGUGGGAUGACGGUACCCAAAGAAUAAGCACCGGCUAACUUCGUGCCAGCAGCCGCGGUAAUACGAAGGGUGCAAGCGUUACUCGGAAUUACUGGGCGUAAAGCGUGCGUAGGUGGUCGUUUAAGUCCGUUGUGAAAGCCCUGGGCUCAACCUGGGAACUGCAGUGGAUACUGGGCGACUAGAAUGUGGUAGAGGGUAGCGGAAUUCCUGGUGUAGCAGUGAAAUGCGUAGAGAUCAGGAGGAACAUCCAUCCUACGGGAGGCAGCAGGCUACACAAAUAUUGACGGUGAGGCACGAAAGCGUGGGGAUCAAACAGGAUUAGAUACCCUGGUAGUCCACGCCCUAAACGAUGAUUACUCGACAUUUGCGAUAUACAGUAAGUGUCUGAGCGAAAGCAUUAAGU